This 405-nucleotide ribosomal RNA is filed under the name uncultured bacterium. RNAcentral describes it as "bacterial SSU rRNA". It matches the Rfam family "Bacterial small subunit ribosomal RNA", at positions 355 to 776 of the family's 1533-position model. The record is from RNAcentral.
CUGGGAAUAUUGCGCAAUGGGCGAAAGCCUGACGCAGCGACGCCGCGUGGGGGAUGAAUGCCCUCGGGUUGUAAACCCCUUUCAGCAGGAACGAAACUGACGGUACCUGCAGAAGAAGCCCCGGCCAACUACGUGCCAGCAGCCGCGGUAAGACGUAGGGGGCGAGCGUUGUCCGGAUUUAUUGGGCGUAAAGAGCUCGUAGGCGGCUCAGCAAGUCGGAUGUGAAAACUCCAGGCUCAACCUGGAGACGCCAUUCGAUACUGCUGUGGCUUGAGUCCGGUAGGGGCGCAUGGAAUAUCCAGUGUAGCGGUGAAAUGCUUAGAUAUUGGAUGGAACACCAGUGGCGAAGGCGGUGCGCUGGGCCGGAACUGACGCUGAGGAGCGAAAGCGUGGGUAGCAAACAGG